This 305-nucleotide ribosomal RNA is filed under the name uncultured bacterium. Its description in RNAcentral is "bacterial SSU rRNA". It matches the Rfam family "Bacterial small subunit ribosomal RNA", at positions 335 to 657 of the family's 1533-position model. The record is from RNAcentral.
UUUCCUACGGGAGGCAGCAGUCGGGAAUAUUGCGCAAUGGAGGAAACUCUGACGCAGUGACGCCGCGUGCAGGAAGAAGGUUUUCGGAUUGUAAACUGCUUUAGACAGGGAAGAAAAAAGACAGUACCUGUAGAAUAAGCUCCGGCUAACUACGUGCCAGCAGCCGCGGUAAUACGUAGGGAGCAAGCGUUAUCCGGAUUUAUUGGGUUUAAAGGGUGCGCAGGCGGCACGGCAAGCCGGCGGUCAAAUCGCGGGGCUCAACCCCGCCCAGCCGCCGGAACUGCCGGGCUAGAGUGGGCGAGAAG